Molecule: ribosomal RNA, 888 nt
Filed under: uncultured bacterium
Lineage: Bacteria
Description: bacterial SSU rRNA
Rfam family: Bacterial small subunit ribosomal RNA
Source: RNAcentral
AGAGUUUGAUCAUGGCUCAGAUUGAACGCUGGCGGUAGGCUUAACACAUGCAAGUCGUGCGAGAAAGUAUCUUCGGAUAUGAGUAGAGCGGCGGACGGGUGAGUAACGCGUAGGAAUCUACCUAGUAGAAGGGGAUAGCCCGGGGAAACUCGGAUUAAUACCGUAUACCUCCUUUGGGAGAAAGAGGGCCUCUCUUGAUGCUCUCGCUAUUAGAUGAGCCUGCGUAAGAUUAGCUUGUUGGUAAGGUAAUGGCUUACCAAGGCUACGAUCUUUAGCUGGUCUGAGAGGACGAUCAGCCACAUUGGGACUGAGACACGGCCCAGACUCCUACGGGAGGCAGCAGUGGGGAAUAUUGGACAAUGGGCGCAAGCCUGAUCCAGCCAUACCGCGUGUGUGAAGAAGGCCUUCGGGUUGUAAAGCACUUUAAGCAGGGAGAAAAAGCUAUAAGUUAAUACCUUAUAGCCGUGAUGUUACCUGCAGAAUAAGCACCGGCUAAUUCCGUGCCAGCAGCCGCGGUAAUACGGAAGGUGCAAGCGUUAAUCGGAAUUACUGGGCGUAAAGCGCGCGUAGGUGGUUUGUUAAGUUGGAUGUGAAAGCCCUGGGCUCAACCUAGGAACUGCAUCCAAAACUAACUCACUAGAGUACGAUAGAGGGAGGUAGAAUUCAUAGUGUAGCGGUGGAAUGCGUAGAUAUUAUGAAGAAUACCAGUGGCGAAGGCGGCCUCCUGGAUCUGUACUGACACUGAGGUGCGAAAGCGUGGGUAGCGAACAGGAUUAGAUACCCUGGUAGUCCACGCCGUAAACGAUGACAACUAGCUGUUGGGAGACAAUGUCUUUCAGUGGCGCAGCUAACGUUUUAAGUUGUCCGCCUGGGGAGUACGGGCCGCAA